Hibiscus syriacus is the source of this 395-nucleotide long non-coding RNA. RefSeq lists it as uncharacterized. NCBI's taxonomy places the organism in Eukaryota, Viridiplantae, Streptophyta, Magnoliopsida, Malvales, Malvaceae. The record is from RefSeq and is a predicted model, not a curated record. The transcript is spliced from 5 exons.
UCAUGCCCUCUAUAGGAUUGAGGAUAUCUUUCUUCAUUUCUUGGACUGGUGUGAUGAACGUGGAAAACCACUCGAAAACCAUGAGUUCUUGCGCAAAAGCUUGAAACAUUUGAAGUAUGAAGCAGAAAUACUGGAUAAAAUAGGAUGCAUAGAGGUAAACAAACUCUGAAUAACUUGCUGUUGUUUUGCUCCCUAGCAAUCAUAGUUCCCAUAACUUUCCAGUUGUCUUUUUUGGUUUCAUAGGAACUUGAGAGAAAACUCUUUAAUCUCAACCAGAAAAAAAAAUUGAAGCUGUGGAAAAGAUGAGGUCUUAUAAUCCAGAUAUGAUUCAGAAGCUCUCAAAUUCUGAAGCUACUCAUCGACAGAAAAUUGUUAUGGACGCAAUUCGACGAAUU